CCUGCCCACUGAAAUUUUAAAUGGCCGCAGUAUUUUAACUGUGCAAAGGUAGCAUAAUCAUUAGUCUUUUAAUUGAGGGCUUGUAUGAAUGGUUGGACGAGAUAUAGGCUGUUUCAUAUAAAUUUAUAAUAAAAUUUUAUUUUUUAGUUAAAAAGCUAAAAUGUUUUUAGAAGACGAGAAGACCCUAUAGAGUUUUAUAAUUAAUUUAGUUUUAGUUAUUAAGAAUAAUUAAAUUAUUAUUUAAAUUAAUUAUUUUGUUGGGGUGAUAUUAAAUUUUUUAAAACUUUUAAUGAAUAAUUCACAUUUAUUUAUGAAUUAAAAUGAUCCAGUUUUAUUGAUUAAAAAAUUAAAUUACCUUAGGGAUAACAGCAUAAUUUUUUUAGAGAGUUCUUAUCAAUAAAAAAGAUUGUGACCUCGAUGUUGGAUUAAGAUAUGGUUUAGGUGCAGUAGUUUAAAUUUUAAGUCUGUUCGACUUUUAAAUUCCUACAUGAUCC
RNAcentral lists this ribosomal RNA (494 nucleotides) under Clesthentia aberrans. Its description in RNAcentral is "partial 16S ribosomal RNA". It matches the Rfam family "Bacterial large subunit ribosomal RNA", at positions 1858 to 2606 of the family's 2925-position model. The record is from RNAcentral. Lineage: Eukaryota; Metazoa; Arthropoda; Insecta; Diptera; Apsilocephalidae.